This 252-nucleotide ribosomal RNA is filed under the name uncultured bacterium. RNAcentral's name for it is "partial 16S ribosomal RNA". It matches the Rfam family "Bacterial small subunit ribosomal RNA", at positions 524 to 776 of the family's 1533-position model. The record is from RNAcentral.
UACGGGGGGGGCAAGCGUUGUUCGGAAUUACUGGGCGUAAAGGGCUCGUAGGCGGCCAACUAAGUCAGACGUGAAAUCCCUCGGCUUAACCGGGGAACUGCGUCUGAUACUGGAUGGCUUGAAUCCGGGAGAGGGAUGCGGAAUUCCAGGUGUAGCGGUGAAAUGCGUAGAUAUCUGGAGGAACACCGGUGGCGAAGGCGGCAUCCUGGACCGGCAUUGACGCUGAGGCGCGAAGCGUGGGGAGCAAACAGG